RNAcentral lists this ribosomal RNA (463 nucleotides) under Citrobacter freundii. RNAcentral's name for it is "bacterial SSU rRNA". It matches the Rfam family "Bacterial small subunit ribosomal RNA", at positions 11 to 472 of the family's 1533-position model. The record is from RNAcentral. Lineage: Bacteria; Pseudomonadati; Pseudomonadota; Gammaproteobacteria; Enterobacterales; Enterobacteriaceae.
GUUUGAUCCUGGCUCAGAUUGAACGCUGGCGGCAGGCCUAACACAUGCAAGUCGAACGGUAGCACAGAGAGCUUGCUCUCGGGUGACGAGUGGCGGACGGGUGAGUAAUGUCUGGGAAACUGCCCGAUGGAGGGGGAUAACUACUGGAAACGGUAGCUAAUACCGCAUAAUGUCGCAAGACCAAAGAGGGGGACCUUCGGGCCUCUUGCCAUCGGAUGUGCCCAGAUGGGAUUAGCUAGUAGGUGGGGUAACGGCUCACCUAGGCGACGAUCCCUAGCUGGUCUGAGAGGAUGACCAGCCACACUGGAACUGAGACACGGUCCAGACGCCUACGGGAGGCAGCAGUGGGGAAUAUUGCACAAUGGGCGCAAGCCUGAUGCAGCCAUGCCGCGUGUAUGAAGAAGGCCUUCGGGUUGUAAAGUACUUCAGCGAGGAGGAGAGGCGUUGUGGUUAAUAACCACAG